Molecule: unclassified non-coding RNA, 633 nt
Filed under: Hevea brasiliensis (rubber tree)
Lineage: Eukaryota; Viridiplantae; Streptophyta; Magnoliopsida; Malpighiales; Euphorbiaceae
Source: RNAcentral
CAGACGGAAAGUGUACUUUGCAAACUCCUUUACCCCCUUAAUAGAAUUAUUGACGCAGAAAUAAUGUGGUGCACAUUCAUCAUAUUGGUUGGCUAAAGAGUACAACCAUCUAUAGGCUAAGGUUGGUCGAGAAAAACAAUUGGAGGUUGCUCUCCAGUGCCUCAGAGGAAAGAAUGUCAAUAUUCAACACAAAGCAGCAUAUAUUAGAGAUUAUACAAAGACUUUUCAAGGACAUUCAGAAGCUAGACUUUUAGACUUGUUCAAGGGAAGAUAUGCUCUUGCUCUCAUUGCUGUUGCCGAGCUAUUGCUAUUGCAACAAUUUGGAGGGAACAAUGCAAUUGCAUUUUAUGCCAGCUCCUUUUGAAAAAAUCUGAUUUUUCAAGUAGUGUUGGGCUAAUUUCGAAGGCCAUUGUCCGGAUUCCAGCUACUGCUGUUUCUGUACUAUUAAUAGAUAGAGCUGGAAGGCAGCCACAUCUCUUGGUUAGAACACCACAAAAUUUGAUUUCAAGUUUGCUAUGCAGCUGAUAAAACAAUAGGUGUUGAGCCUACUUCAAAUGUUUGCAGGCUUCUGCCUCUCGCAUGUGCUUAAGCUGCUUCCUUAUAAGACUAGCAUUUUGCUUGCAGGUUUGACAA